UACCCUUCUAUGUCUUGAUAUCGUUUUUAAAAAUCUAUAUACAUUCUCAUCUUGCUUUUUAAACUGGCUAAACAAUUUUUUAAAUUUUUGGAAACCAGUUCAGUAUACUGUAAAACUAUUUAGUUUUAUGUCACAAACUUGAUAGGCUAAAUAACUUUGAACAUGGAAUCAAAAUUUUCAGUAAAAAAAAAGACUGGGUUUAAACGUAAAUAUUUUAUCAAUGUUUCAAAGCUGGACAUGGAUUAAGUAGCAAAAUAAGAACUAUACUGCAAUUUAGAGCUAAUUGGAUUACAUAACAAACAUUUAUUAAACAACACUUUAAAUUUAUGAAAUAAGACAUUAUAUUGGAUAGGAUGUAUAAACGGUCAAACGUUAAAUAGGUGGAUAUACAACGAGUGUACAACUAGGCGUCGGCCAUUAAGGACACUAUUUAAGUUAAUUCUACCAAUCUAGUUUGAAAAUCCACGAGGAAAUAUCGGAGGCAAAAUUCAUGAAAACUAGAAGAUGCAGUUCCACGAAAACGCACAAAUGAAUCAAAGGACGUUCCUUGCAAUGAAAACAGGAAACGAUUGAAACUAAGGACAGGAAACACGGAGACCGUGCCUGACACGUAUCAGCCUCCAAUACAGGAGACAGCCGGGCCUGCCGCAACUACCGAUGUGAUUCAAGGUCUUUUCUCUGCAAACAUGCAACCCGUGCAUGAGGAACAGGAAAUUUCAGUACGUGGCGCAGCUGGAACAUCCAGAAACAUUCCAAUACUGCCAUCAUCAUCUGCUGUGACUGCUGCUGCUGGUACUGGAAAUCGAAAUGAGAAGAACGCAGACGAUGGGCAUAGAGAUAUCACAACAGCAAAGGCAGGGUCAUGGUAAAGAAGAAGACUAUAGAAAAUAAUAAAUGUUAACAUAGUACUAUAUACUGUAUUUUAUAUGUGUUUAGUGUAUCUCUUUAUUUCCACUACAUGUGUUGAUAAGUUUUAAAUUAAGAAGAAUAUACAUGUGUUAUACUUUUUUUAACUGUUUCGGAUAAACCUGUACACUUUCUGCUAGUAAUAAAGAUAUACAUUUUUGUAUAUUCACACACACUUGCAAAACAACUGAAUGUGUAUUAGUCAUCAUACUUUGCUACAUGAAACAUCGUGUAUUUUUAAGAAGUUAGUAGGCAUGAUACAAAAAAGAAAGACAUUAAUGUAUAAUUAAACAUCGAUUUUAAAUUUUAUAAUUGCAAUAUAUUUCAUCAUUUGAGACGUAUCAACCAGCUGUAAGAAAACCUGUUAAGGUUUGAGAACUGAUUCGCGUUAUCUAUUCAAUAAUAGGCGACCUGUCACCUUUUUAGUUAAUUUUUCCCUAAAAACAAAGUAUUCCGAUUGUCCAAUAACUGGUUCUUAACUAGAGCCUGUUUGUUGCUAGUUUCCUAAAAAACGAAUAUAUCGAAAACAUUCCAAUUUUACAAUAACUGAUAGCGCGAUUCUUAGUUAAGAUUCUUGUUACCAUUUUCCGACAAUCGGAAAGAUCUGGCGGACAUAUUUGCUUUAAGAAAUCUAGCAACACGAAUCUUAACGUUUUCACAUUGAACAAUUGGAAUACUGUGGCAUAGUCGGUAAUAGCAACAUGAACUUUUUCUAGUUGAUAUACGUGUUACCUGUUAUUGGACAAUCAGCUACUGUAUUUUGUUUCUAGGAAGAAAUAACUGAUGGCGGUUCUGUGCAGUCACAGGGUUUUAAUUUGUGUAACGAUAUUUUUGUUACCGGAAAGAUAUUUUGGGUUAACAUUUUGUGUAUUAGCUUGUAUCUCACUAACCAUUAGCAGGAAUGGAUAGAAAUUUCAAAAUUUUGUUCACUGUGAUAACGUGGCAUUUACUGCACAGGUUCCAUAACUCUUUCUCAUAAAGUUAUGCCACUUUUUCGAUCUAGCUGAAGAGUGAAAUUCACAUGAGGUGAUUUUUUUAUUAUUCAAGCUUGUUGCCUUUUUACUUAAGUACUUUUUGAAAUCUAUUUUCAUCAUUUUGAUAUCUCUUUUGUCAGAUCAUUUUUCAACGCAAAUACUGAAUAGUUUUUCUUGUUUUUUUCUUUUUAAUAAUAUCUGUGUUCUGUUAUAAAUUACAUUAUAUCUAAAUGUCAGCUGAAAUAGUGGAUCUGUAUUUAUUUUAUUACACUUAAAACAUUUUCUGAUGUCAUACAAUAUACAUGUAUUCGUCAACUUUUUUCACAGAGAGAUAAGCUCUUUCCACAGCUAUCCAACUAUAUUUGGGGAUUUAAUAUCUAUCAAUGACUUGGUAUAUAGUUGAUAUCUGAAUCUUGCAGAAUAAAGCCGCAUUUCACAAAAAAAACUUUGUGAUGGAUUAGUUGGAUCAAACAGUAAAUUUGAAUUAUGUAAUUAAAAGCAUUAUUGUUGUUAAAUAUGUUUUAAGAACAGUUAUUAACUCCCUUUUUAAAUGGUACAAUAUAUCUGUUUCAAGUUUUGUGUGCAUGUACACAGGGUAUUCUUGAGUGUAUUAUACAUUUUUCUUGAAGUU
Mercenaria mercenaria is the source of this 2511-nucleotide long non-coding RNA. RefSeq lists it as uncharacterized. Lineage: Eukaryota; Metazoa; Mollusca; Bivalvia; Venerida; Veneridae. The transcript is spliced from 6 exons. The record is from RefSeq and is a predicted model, not a curated record.